CCAGCAGCCGCGUUAAUUCCAGCUCUGAUAGCGUAUUAUUAAAGUUGUUGCUAGUUAAAAAGCUCGUAGUUGGAUUUUAGAGUAUAUUGAUAUGGUCUCUUGUGAUAAACUUGUUGUACUGUAUUAAUUACUCUUUCCUACUGGUUACUCGACUCUGUUCUUUAUUGCAUGGAGUAGUGUCGCAAGGCAUCGCUUAGUAUUUUAUUGCUUUUAGAUGUAGUAAUUGGGUAAAACUGGUUGCGAAAACCUAAGGGAUCACAGUAAGGUAUUAAGUGGGGUUCCAGUUCAUUUACUUUGAGUAAAAUUAGAGUGUUCAAAGCAGCCUGUAUGGGCAUUGAAUAGAUUAGCAUGGGAUAAUAGAAUAGGAUUCUUAUCUAUUUAUUGGUUUAUAGAUUUAGAAUAAUGAUUAAUAGGGAUAGUUGGGGGC
RNAcentral lists this ribosomal RNA (427 nucleotides) under uncultured eukaryote. Its description in RNAcentral is "bacterial SSU rRNA". It matches the Rfam family "Eukaryotic small subunit ribosomal RNA", at positions 567 to 889 of the family's 1831-position model. The record is from RNAcentral.